AUUGCAUUAGUUAUGCAAGUGAAUUUUUGUUUUGGACACUCGAAAGCCGGUUUCAGGUUCGGUUUAGUUUUUUUGAAGGGAGUUUUAAUGUAUGCAAUAUAUGCAUAUAAAGAAACCUUAUUUGUACAUCUUCUAGUUUUUGAAGAUUUUAGGAGGGGUAAAAAUAUUUCGUAAUUUAGCUACUACAACUAAGAGCUACCAUAAAACCAAAUUAGAACCAUAACCCCAAAAGUUGAAAUAUUUCAAUGCAGUGAGCUGAAUUAAUCAGUAGAUGGCUAAAACAGGCUAUUUCAAUGCUGCUCUUUAAUCAUCGCUUAGUCGUAACACAAAAUAGUGAAAAUUUCAGCCGAACAACAACUAAAAUUGGAUUAGUCAUAGCUCCGUUCGUCAAAGGCAGGCUGCGGUUAGGACCGAAGUAAGGAGUUGCUACAAAUACAACACUCUUAUGUGGGUAAAGCUGAUAUUUGACGGAGGCACAGCUUUUUACUGCAAACAAUCUAAGCGCUUUGCACCCGUUUUAUGUCUGUCAAAGUCGUCGUACUAAUCGUUCUGCAUUGUCGCCCAUUGAAAGGACAUGAAUAAAUUUAUAACAUGAAGCAAAAAAGGAAAAUUAUUAAAAAUGCAAAUAAAAGCGCUAAUAGCGAAUGAAUUGAAAAGCAACUAAACACACUCUGCUUACCGAAAAGGUCAUAUUAUGAACCCUAACGUGCGUCUGUGAGACUUCAGCAUUCAUCAUCAUCUACUAAUGCAGCCGUCAGCAAAAUAAGUAAGCAUGAUUUGCCAAAAACAAAUACAACAAGUACCGAGCAAAUACACUAUUUCACGAAGCAGACAGUCUAGCAAACAGACCAACAAACAAAUUUUAAGAAAGUACCUGAGAAACUCAGUAGCGCCGAUAGUAAAAGGAUACGUAUAAAAAAUUCAUCGCGGGUAAGACGAGAAAAUACAACUCCCAAGCAAGAAGUUGUUGUUGUUGUUUCUUUACUUUUGCGUGAAGUCAACUUCGAAUGAUGGACCACAUAAAUUUGCGAGCAAAGCAGAGACAACAUAAGGAAAUAGCAAAGGCGGAAUGCGAUAAAAAAAGUCAUAAUCAAACGCUACAUACCAAGAAUGCACGCGUAUUUAUUUUUGAAUGGUGGAGCUUUGAAUACUGCUGAAUCAGCAAAAAAAAAGGGUAUGUAGCAGAGAAGACACCACAAUAAUACAAUACAAAAGUCAAAGAAGUGCAGAAGCCGCGUCGGACGAGAAUAUUUUAUUUAAAAAAAUAUGAAAGAGGCAAAACUCAAGUAUUUUAUUCACUAAAAAACUUCGAAAGACGUAAGCAAUAUUCAGCAUACGUGAGCUUGUUAUUGUGUUCCAUUUGUUCGGUGAUUAUGCUUAUAAAGCUCAUUUUGGAUCGUACCUAGCGGGCAUAGUAUUGGCUCCGCUUCGGACUCGUCUAAAGAGGCUCUUAGCUUUGCCAACUUAUCCACCUACUCGUUGCCGAAAAUGUUCUCUGACCGGGACCAUAUUAUGAACAAGUGAACCUGGCAUGUCAGUGAGCUUUGGAAUUAAUCUUUGGUGUCG
Bactrocera neohumeralis is the source of this 1566-nucleotide long non-coding RNA. RefSeq lists it as uncharacterized. The transcript is spliced from 6 exons. NCBI's taxonomy places the organism in Eukaryota, Metazoa, Arthropoda, Insecta, Diptera, Tephritidae. The record is from RefSeq and is a predicted model, not a curated record.